GAUUCAUUACCACUUAUUUAUAUUUGAAAUCUUUUUUUCCACAAACAUGUUUGUUUUUCCCACAAGUUUGGCUCAUUGAAAUGCUUUGCGUUAAUUUUAACUGUUAAAAUGAGUGUCAAAAUCAGUCAGUGUGUUUUGGAGGAUGGAAGAUUAAUUUGCCACAUGCAAUUCUGAUGUAUCAUUUCUCUCUCUCUCACUCACUCUCCCUCUCUCUCUCACGCCACAACAAUUAAUAGGAUUUUACGGCAUAACGGGAUUGGGGUUUAUGUUCUUUAUCUCAGGCGAUACAAUAGCUGUAAAUAUGAAUUUAAGAGAUCAAACAAAUUUAGCUUCAUUGUAAAGGAGCUUAUGGUGGGGCUGGGGGGAAAAAAACUAAAAAACAAAAAAGCAGAGGAGGCACACCGAAAGGGGACUCUGUCACUCGGCUCCCCAGUGAGGAGGCUUCAGAUUGGGGCGACUCUGCUGACAGAGCCCUACCUCUGGAGCCAGUGAUGGCAGCUCCAGUCGUAGCAACCUCCCUCUGUUGCGUUGUUUGUUGUGUAAUUUCAGCUUCUUCACUGGCAGCAGUUUGGUUCCACGCGGCCUGCGUUAGCCCUUUUUUUUUCUUUUCGUUAGACUUUCUUUUUCGCGCUAACCCUCUCUCUCUGUCUCUCUCUCUCUCUCUCUCUCUUCUCUCUCUCUCUAUCUCUCUCUCUCUCGUGUGGGCAUGGGCCGAGAUUAUCUACAGCUGCCACGCUGUUCGUGUGCCAGUGUGCAGUGCUGGCAUUUGUGCUAAAACCAAACUACGGGCGCAGCCAGCUCCGGGAUCCAGGCGGCGGCGGCCAGUGAUAGAUCAGCUGACUGAGCGACUGCAGCCAGUAGGGUUUUCGCUCAGUUUAUGUGGCUCACAUUUGCACUAACAUGUGGUUUCCUCCGCCAUACUGCUCAUUACGAGAAACAACAACUUUCUCUUUUUUUUUUUACUGCGGAGUAAUUACUGCCCCGGCGAACGGUGGAAUGCAGUGGUUUCCUGUUGUUGUUUUUUUAUUUAUUUAUUAUUGUUGCUUGAUGUCACCGUGUCAGAUAUGACUCAGUGGUCCAGCCGUGACAUGCUCUUGCUAUCAGUGACGGUCAAAUCUUCCAGCAGCAGCUGAUCGUGAUAGUCAUGGCAAAUUUGGUGGCAUACUGUGUGAAAUCUCAGUCUUUAUGGUUGACUUCACUGCCAGGGCGUUUGGAUGGAGGACCCUGUGCCAGUAUACCCCUCUGUGUUUAUUUCAAGUCACAUCAGAUUAACACCACUUGGACUCACAUCACGCCUAUCCUCCUCUC
Long non-coding RNA from Clupea harengus (Atlantic herring), 1308 nucleotides. NCBI's taxonomy places the organism in Eukaryota, Metazoa, Chordata, Actinopteri, Clupeiformes, Clupeidae. The record is from Ensembl.